AGAUCAGAUGGACUAGAUGUGGUGUGUUUUGAGUCAAACCCUUUCGGAUGGAAGCCUUGGCAUUUACUGAGAAGUGUGCAUUACUGAUGUCUUCAACUCCUGAUGCUGUGGCACAGAAUCCUAAGCUUUAUCCUUGGCAGGCUGCUGAAGAUCACAUUGGCCUCCCACAGAAUGGUGGUGUCUCCUCACUGAUUUACACAGCAAGAUGGGGGAGCAGCUGUCUGUAUGGAUGACUACUGUGCAUCUCUUUUGUCCAAGACUCCACCUUCCUCUGGAAGGACAGUUCCAUGAUGGAUAAAUAUGGAGUACUACUAGAGGCAGAGAUUACUGCUGCUUCAUAGGAUAUCUGACCUUUUUCCAUUCCCUUGGGUAUGAGUACUUUUUCUAGUUUACCCUCCUAGGCUUUCUCAGAUCUACCUGAACAUCCUGCCAGCAUCCCAGCAGGAGUCAUCCUCUCAGAGACUUUCAGACUUCCUGUUGCAGCUAAAGUUCUGUUCUCUGAAUAAUUGACUGUGGGGAUUUCUCACACUCCUAAAUGUACCAGGCCAAUAUCGGUCACUUAACCACCGGCUGGAGUAGGAGUUACAGUGGUCUUUUGGAAUGAUGCUCCCUGUCCUCCCUUCUGCAGCAGGACCCCUCUGUGGGUCAAUAUGAAGAUAAGAUGGGGCUGAAGCCUCACCUCUUCCUUGUUCUGCUCCAUUCCACUUGGUGCACGGUGCACUGUUGUGGUGCCCUGCAGAAGCAGACUGUAAGUUCCCACGUGUGCAUGGACUGCAAACGUGACAGGUCCUUGCACUGGUCACACAGGGGAGGAGGCUCACCGUGUGUUACCCCAGUGCACCUGUGUAAGCAUCUGUCACAGUCUGGCCAAGAAACAUCAGAGACAAGCUCUUGGAGAAUACUUAGAUUGGGUUGGGUGCUUAUUUAAUAGGAAGCAAUUACUGGAACUACAUAUGGAAACCAAGAAUUUGUGCAAGCAAAUGGCCAGUUAGGUAUUUAAUUACACUUCUAUAAACAUACAUUUUGUACAUACAUUAAUUAUGCACACACCAUUAUGGACAUAAUUGUGUUCACAUUAUUUGUCAGGCCAUUUGUGUUUGGGUCUUUGUACUUUGAAUUUUCAAGAUUCUAAUGAUCUUCUAAUUGCACUUGAUUGUGGUGGAGAGAAACUUAUCUUCCCCCUACAAAGUUUCUAUUUCUAUUACUAUUCAUUUUAUUUAAAGCUUCUUCUGCCAUCUGUCUUAAAAUCUUUGUUCCUUGCUGUGAAUAUUAAAAUAUAUUUAUGUUUUAUAGGGACUUAAGUUCUUUUCAUCAUUACAUCUGGAUUAAAGUUGGUUGGACAUCUUCAGAGGUCUUGAGAUAAGACUGUUUUUAUGGACAAGAGACCUGGGAGCUUUUUGGAAUAAAGACCUUAGUGACAUUACCUGAUGUCAAUUUACAAAGACUGUUGAUUAUUCACAAAACGAUUGUCACUAUUCCUUUCAGAUAAAAAUAUUUGAUAUUUAAUUAUAUAAUUUAUUGUUAAUUUAUUAAUUAAUUGAAAAAUUACCUGUCCUUAAAAUGAAAGAUAACCAUGUGUAUUCUCUCUUGCUGCCUUUUUUCCAUCCCAGGAGUCUAAUAUAUUUACCAGUAUAGUGGAGACACUUCAACAUAACAGUUUGAUUAAUGGGUCUUUUUCUGCAAUGGGUUGGCAAAUACAUUUGUCCCAUGUAACACUGAAUCACAGAAGAAAGAUAGCUAUAGAAAAGACAUAUUAUGGCAUCUAGCCCAUUCCCUACCAGAACAGGCUGGUUCUAAAUGCUGUGGCAAGAUCCUCAGCAAGUGUAAAAUGUCAUACCUCUACAGAAGUCAAUGGAACUACAAAAAUAUAUGCCAGAUGAGUGGCUUGUCCUGUAUAUUUUAAUCAAGAAAAAAUGUUCUAAAAACAAUGUACUGUAUUUAAUGUACAUUAUGGA
Long non-coding RNA from Malaclemys terrapin pileata, 1955 nucleotides. RefSeq lists it as uncharacterized. The record is from RefSeq and is a predicted model, not a curated record. The transcript is spliced from 3 exons. NCBI's taxonomy places the organism in Eukaryota, Metazoa, Chordata, Testudines, Emydidae.